GGUCAAAGGAUUACAUGCACAACUCCCAUUAAAAGAAAACAUCUCUUGACAGGUAAGUAAAUUCCAUAAGAUGUUUCUUAAGUCGGAUCAAUUCAGUGAACUCAUUCUCUAAUGAGCACCAACUUCCUUGUAUUAGUGUCUCAUACAAGUGGCAUAUGAGAUCUGCCACUCUCUCAAUCGAGCAUACAUAGAAAGUGCUAAUCUAUCCGGAACAUUGAUCUCCUACUCAAUGCUCCUAUGACUAGGAAUAUUCUAAAUCAGGAUUUUUAGGAUUUUAGGUCUCAUAGGUAUGAUCUCAUCAUAACCCUAAAUCCAUUUUCCUGAUUUAUGGAGUUCAUCAUAAUCAUUACUAAAGUAAGAUGCAACAUAU
This 370-nucleotide long non-coding RNA is filed under the name Elaeis guineensis (African oil palm). RNAcentral describes it as "long non-coding RNA (EGUI_LNC065143)". Lineage: Eukaryota; Viridiplantae; Streptophyta; Magnoliopsida; Arecales; Arecaceae. The record is from RNAcentral.